This 435-nucleotide ribosomal RNA is filed under the name uncultured bacterium. Its description in RNAcentral is "partial 16S ribosomal RNA". It matches the Rfam family "Bacterial small subunit ribosomal RNA", at positions 29 to 507 of the family's 1533-position model. The record is from RNAcentral.
AGCGAACGCUGGCGGCAGGCUUAACACAUGCAAGUCGAGCGGGCAUCUUCGGAUGUCAGCGGCAGACGGGUGAGUAACACGUGGGAACGUACCCUUCGGUUCGGGACAACUCUGGGAAACUGGAGCUAAUACCGGAUACGCCCUUAUGGGGAAAGGUUUACUGCCGAAGGAUCGGCCCGCGUCUGAUUAGCUAGUUGGUGGGGUAACGGCCUACCAAGGCGACGAUCAGUAGCUGGUCUGAGAGGAUGAUCCGCCACACUGGGACUGGGACACGGACCAGACUCCUACGGGCGGCAGCAGUGGGGAAUAUGGGACAAUGGGAGCAAGCAUGAACCAGCCAUGCCGGGUGAAUGAUGAAGGCCUGAGGGUUGUAAAGCUCUUUUGUCCGGGAAGAUAAUGACGGUACCGGAAGAAUAAGCCCCGGCUAACUUCGUG